RNAcentral lists this ribosomal RNA (375 nucleotides) under uncultured bacterium. RNAcentral's name for it is "bacterial SSU rRNA". It matches the Rfam family "Bacterial small subunit ribosomal RNA", at positions 521 to 896 of the family's 1533-position model. The record is from RNAcentral.
UAAUACGGAGGGUGCAAGCGUUAUCCGGAAUCACUGGGUUUAAAGGGUGCGUAGGCGGCUAUGUAAGUCAGUUGUGAAAUACCUCGGCUUAACCGAAGGAAGUGCGAUUGAUACUGCGUAGCUUGAAUCAGGUUGAGGUAGGCGGAAUGUGACAUGUAGCGGUGAAAUGCUUAGAUAUGUCAUAGAACACCGAUUGCGAAGGCAGCUUACUGGGCUUUGAUUGACGCUGAGGCACGAAAGCGUGGGGAGCAAACAGGAUUAGAUACCCUGGUAGUCCACGCCCUAAACGAUGUUUACUUGCUGUUCCUCGCUUGACGGGGAGUGGCGAAGCGAAAGCGAUAAGUAAACCACCUGGGGAGUACGCCGGCAACGGUG